Molecule: long non-coding RNA, 630 nt
Filed under: Zea mays
Lineage: Eukaryota; Viridiplantae; Streptophyta; Magnoliopsida; Poales; Poaceae
Description: drought-responsive long non-coding RNA
Source: RNAcentral
UGCAUCAAGGAGCUUACCAACUAAUUCAUGGCCUCCUUGACUUGUGGUCAUGCUUCUUUUGAGAAGGCGCCUCUGAUUUCUUCCAUUCCAUAUGCUGUUGGCAGGAGGACUAUGACGACAUUGUGAAUGGCUGGAACGCGAAGCUGAAACGGAGCUCUGCCGGCGAGCAGAGGUGGGGGUUGUUCAUUGCCACCAAGUGAUUUGGCCUGGCAGCAGGAGGGCUCUUCGGAAUAAGAAUGGAUGUGGCUCUAACUCUGCUUCUAGACCGGUGAUGGUUCAGCUUAGAAGCAGGGGAUCUUCAUCAUCAGAAUAAAAACGUGUGUUGUUGUGUUGCUGUGUCUACGCCACUAGUAUUUCUGUUGUUACUUAUGUUCUAGGUAAACUGCGCAGCCAGAGCAGAGCUGAAGAAUAUGUACUGCUUGCUCGCUCUUGUGUGGUUGUGUCUACCCCUACUAGCAUUUCAGCUUUGUUGUAGGUAAACUGCGAACCCAGAGUUGCAGAACCCGUACUGCUCGUUUAAGUUCAUGGUGAACUACGAGCUAAAAGGCUGUUGCCAGAGUCGAUGUCACUUGUCACUGGAGGUCCCCGGUUCAAUUCAGAUGUUGCUUUGGCACGUGCUAUUCUUUUGGA